RNAcentral lists this ribosomal RNA (301 nucleotides) under uncultured bacterium. Its description in RNAcentral is "partial 16S ribosomal RNA". It matches the Rfam family "Bacterial small subunit ribosomal RNA", at positions 509 to 807 of the family's 1533-position model. The record is from RNAcentral.
CAGCCGCCGCGGGAAUACGAAGGGUGCAAGCGUUACUCGGAAUUACUGGGCGUAAAGCGUGCGUAGGUGGUGGUUUAAGUCCGUUGUGAAAGCCCUGGGCUCAACCUGGGAAUUGCAGUGGAUACUGGGUCACUAGAGUGUGGUAGAGGAUAGUGGAAUUUCCGGUGUAGCAGUGAAAUGCGUAGAGAUCGGAAGGAACAUCUGUGGCGAAGGCGACUAUCUGGCCUAAUACUGACGCUGAGGUACGAAAGCAUGGGGAGCAAACAGGAUUAGAUACCCCCGUAGUCCCUGUCUCUUAUAC